CUGAGAUCCCCCAGCGAAUUUGCUUGCCCUCCUGUAGCCACGCCCCCGGUAGCUGGUGCAAGAGACCUCAGUUGUCAGCACUGGUGGGAGCGGUAGCCGGGAGUUCCGCGCCGCGAGUCCUGCGCCACUCCUGGUUCCCUCGGUCUGGUUAUUGCGUUCACAGGAGAGCUGGGAGUGGCCCUUAAGGUUUCCCCCGCUGUGUGGAGAGAGAUGGCUAGGGGAUUACACACCUGUCGCGCUGGUUUCACUGCAGUUAUCUCCUCCGCCCAUGACGCCAUUUCUCUGCCAUGGUGAUAUCCCAUGCAAAUGGUGACCGUUUGUUCCCUUUGCCGGAUGACCAAAUCAAC
This 347-nucleotide long non-coding RNA is filed under the name Marmota monax (woodchuck). Lineage: Eukaryota; Metazoa; Chordata; Mammalia; Rodentia; Sciuridae. The record is from RNAcentral.